Molecule: long non-coding RNA, 342 nt
Filed under: Citrus x clementina
Lineage: Eukaryota; Viridiplantae; Streptophyta; Magnoliopsida; Sapindales; Rutaceae
Description: Citrus clementina (C. clementina) long non-coding RNA (CCLE_LNC001629)
Source: RNAcentral
GGUAGUAGAUCUAGCUAACCCAAAAAAUUUAUGUGAGUAUUAUAAAGUAUAUCAACUGAAAAUAAAGUUCUUCACUUAUGGUGUGUUUACUUCAUGGAAUAGGAAAUGUGAAUGAAUGAAUGAGAAUGAAACUCAUGUUUACUUGACAAAAUGUAAUUUGGUAAUGAGAAUAAAAUGUGUGGGUCUCACACAAUUUGGGAAUAAAGAAUGAGAAUCUCAUUUCCAUGGAGGGGUUGAGAAUGAAAAUGAGGGAAUGAGAAUGAAAUAUAUGUUUAUUUUUGUAUCCCUCUACUUUUUUCAUAUUUUCCAAAUUACCCUUAUUCAAAUCACAAUUAAUUUUAU